AGGACGAACGCUGGCGGCGUGCCUAACACAUGCAAGUCGAGCGAUGAAGCCUUCGGGGUGGAUUAGCGGCGGACGGGUGAGUAACACGUGGGUAACCUGCCUUAUAGAGGGGGAUAGCCUUCCGAAAGGAAGAUUAAUACCGCAUGAAAUGUUUUUAUCGCAUGGUAGAAACAUCAAAGGAGUAAUCCGCUAUAAGAUGGACCCGCGGCGCAUUAGCUAGUUGGUGAGGUAACGGCCCACCAAGGCGACGAUGCGUAGCCGACCUGAGAGGGUGAUCGGCCACAUUGGAACUGAGACGCGGUCCAGACUCCUACGGGAGGCAGCAGUGGGGAAUAUUGCGCAAUGGGGGAAACCCUGACGCAGCAACGCCGCGUGAAUGAAGAAGGCCUUAGGGUUGUAAAGUUCUGUUUUCUGGGACGAUAAUGACGGUACCAGAGGAGGAAGCCACGGCUAACUACGUGCCAGCCGCCGC
RNAcentral lists this ribosomal RNA (472 nucleotides) under uncultured bacterium. Its description in RNAcentral is "bacterial SSU rRNA". It matches the Rfam family "Bacterial small subunit ribosomal RNA", at positions 26 to 518 of the family's 1533-position model. The record is from RNAcentral.